ACCUGGGUGGCUCAGUCAGUUGGGCGACUGACUUCAGCUCAGGUCAUGAUCUCCCGGUUCGUGGGUUCGAGCCCCACAUCAGGCU
RNAcentral lists this transfer RNA (85 nucleotides) under Felis catus (domestic cat). It matches the Rfam family "tRNA". From Rfam's summary of the family: Transfer RNA (tRNA) molecules are approximately 80 nucleotides in length. Their secondary structure includes four short double-helical elements and three loops (D, anti-codon, and T loops). Lineage: Eukaryota; Metazoa; Chordata; Mammalia; Carnivora; Felidae. The record is from Rfam by way of RNAcentral.